CUCUGCAGAUAUAAUAACAGUCAACAGACUCUUCUAUUGGCUCCAGUUAGACCAACAUUGAUGCUUCAUAUGUUUGAUUCUAUGCAAACUCAGUGACCUUCCUUGUUACUCAGCUAUAAAAACUUCCCAUCAGGCUGUCAGUGGAGUUCACAGCACGUCAGUUUCAACAUAAACCAUGUUCUCUGUAGCUCUGCUGCUGCUGUUGGCAGCUGGAUGUGUGAAGUGUGAACAGUUGACACAGCCAGCCUCUGUGACUGUGCAGCCAGGUCAACGUCUGACCAUCACCUGUCAGGUCUCUUAUUCUGUUAGCAGCUACUACACAGCUUGGAUCAGACAGCCUGCAGGGAAAGGGCUGGAGUGGAUUGGAAUGGCAGCUGUUGGAUCCACCACACGCUACAAAGAUUCACUGAAGAACAAGUUCAGUAUCGACUUAGACUCUUCCAGUAAAACAGUGACUCUAAACGGACAGAAUGUGCAGCCUGAAGACUCUGCUGUGUAUUACUGUGCCAGAGAGACACAAUAACACAAACCAUCAGUAGACCUGAACAAAAACCCCUCAGUGCCUGAACACUUGUAACAUGAAGCCACCAGAGGAGGAGCCCUCAGACCACUAAUGAUUUCAACACCAGUUCACUGUUACAGUGAAGAUAGAAACAGACAUGAUAAGAAUUGAAAAAGGUAAAGAAAU
Non-coding RNA from Dicentrarchus labrax (European seabass), 688 nucleotides. The record is from the annotation of a RefSeq genome assembly. NCBI's taxonomy places the organism in Eukaryota, Metazoa, Chordata, Actinopteri, Moronidae.